GAUACUCUGAGACGUGAUACCGAGCCGCUUCAGGCGAAGUCAUUAAUCCUAUGCUGCCUAGAGAAGCCCAGUAGCGAGUUGACAUGGUGCCCGUACCCCAAACCAACACAGGUGGACAGGUAGAGCAUACCAAGGCGAGUGGGAUAACUAUGGUUAAGGAACUCGGCAAAUUUCCUCCGUAACUUCGGGAUAAGGAGGACCCCAGUAGCGUGACGAGACUUGCUCUCCGAGCGUGAAGGGGUGGCACAAAAUUGAGGGAAGCGACUGUUUACCAAAAACACAGCAGCGUGCUAAGCCGUAAGGCGCUGUAUACGCUGUGACUCCUGCCCGGUGCUGGAAGGUUACGGGGAUGGGUUAGUCCUUUGGGACGAAGCUCUGAACCUAAGCCCCAGUAGACGGCGGCCGUAACUAUAACGGUCCUAAGGUAGCGAAAUUCCUUGUCGGGUAAGUUCCGACCUGCACGAAUGGAGUAACGACUUCCCUACUGUCUCAACCAUAGACCCUGCGAAAUUGAAGUACGAGUAAAGAUGCUCGUUAGCUGCAGAAGGACGGAAAGACCCCGUGGACCUUUACUAUAACUUGAUGUUGUGUUUUGUCAUAUGUUGUGUAGGAUAGGUGGGAGACAAGGAAGCAUGGACGCUAGUCUGUGUGGAGUCAUCGUUGAAAUACCACCCUGCAUAUGGUGAGGCUCUAACCUAGACCCGUUAUCCGGGUUGGGGACAGCGUCGGGCGGGUAGUUUAACUGGGGCGGUUGCCUCCUAAAGAGUAACGGAGGCGCCCAAAGGUUCCCUCAGCCUGGUUGGCAAUCAGGCGUCGAGUGCAAUGGCAAAAGGGAGCUUGACUGCGAGACCUACAAGUCGAGCAGGAGCGAAAGCUGGGCAUAGUGAUCCGGCGGUUGCGUGUGGAAGCGCCGUCGCUCAACGGAUAAAAGGUACCCCGGGGAUAACAGGCUAAUCUUGCCCAAGCGUCCAUAGCGACGGCAAGGUUUGGCACCUCGAUGUCGGCUCAUCGCAUCCUGGGGCUGAAGCAGGUCCCAAGGGUUGGGCUGUUCGCCCAUUAAAGCGGUACGCGAGCUGGGUUCAGAACGUCGUGAGACAGUUCGGUCCCUAUCCUCUGUAGCCGUAGGUGAAUUGAGGAAAGCUGUCCCUAGUACGAGAGGACCGGGACGGACGCAGCUCUCGUGUGCCAGUUGUCCUGCCAAGGGCAUGGCUGGUUAGCGACCUGCGGAAAGGAUAACCGCUGAAAGCAUCUAAGCGGGAAGCCUCUUCCAAGAUGAAUUCACCCACAGGGUUAACCUGGUAAGGCCCGUGGUAGACCACCACGUUGAUAGGCCGGAAGUGUAAGCGUGGCAACACGUUCAGCUGACCGGUACUAAUCGGCCGAGGGCUUGAAGU
RNAcentral lists this ribosomal RNA (1394 nucleotides) under metagenome. Its description in RNAcentral is "bacterial LSU rRNA". It matches the Rfam family "Bacterial large subunit ribosomal RNA", at positions 1550 to 2925 of the family's 2925-position model. The record is from RNAcentral.